AGGACGAACGCUGGCGGCGUGCUUAACACAUGCAAGUCGAGCGGUGAUCCUCCUUCGGGAGGUGAGCAGCGGCGAACGGGUGAGUAACACGUGGGCAACCUGCCCCUCACACUGGGAUAACCUCGGGAAACCGGGGCUAAUACCGGAUAUGACCUCGAGCGGCAUCUCUUGAGGUGGAAAGCUCCGACGGUGAGGGAUGGGCCCGCGGCCUAUCAGCUUGUUGGUGGGGUAAUGGCCUACCAAGGCGACGACGGGUAGCCGGCCUGAGAGGGCGACCGGCCACACUGGGACUGAGACACGGCCCAGACUCCUACGGGAGGCAGCAGUGGGGAAUAUUGCGCAAUGGGCGAAAGCCUGACGCAGCGACGCCGCGUGAGGGAUGAAGGCCUUCGGGUUGUAAACCUCUUUCAGCAGGGACGAAGCGAAAGUGACGGUACCUGCAGAAGAAGCACGGCUAACUACGCGCCAGCAGCCGCGGUAA
This 481-nucleotide ribosomal RNA is filed under the name uncultured bacterium. Its description in RNAcentral is "SSU rRNA". It matches the Rfam family "Bacterial small subunit ribosomal RNA", at positions 26 to 523 of the family's 1533-position model. The record is from RNAcentral.